AAUAAAAAUAUCUUUGGUUGGGGCAACCACGAAGAAAAAAAAACCUUUGAAAAUAAAAAAAAUUAACAAAUUUAAAAUUUUAAUAAAAAAAGAUCCAGAAUAUCUGAUCAAAGAAAAAAGUUACCGCAGGGAUAACAGCGUUAUUCUCUUUAAGAGUUCAUAUUGACAAGAGAGUUUGCGACCUCGAUGUUGGACCGGGACAUCCUAGAAGUGCAAAAGCCUCUAAAGGUAGGUCUGUUCGACCUUUAAAGUCCUACGCGAUCUGAGUUCAGACCGACGCAAGUCAGGUCAGUUUCUAUCUA
This 302-nucleotide ribosomal RNA is filed under the name Tropiometra cf. carinata MADA04. Its description in RNAcentral is "partial 16S ribosomal RNA". It matches the Rfam family "Bacterial large subunit ribosomal RNA", at positions 2308 to 2643 of the family's 2925-position model. Lineage: Eukaryota; Metazoa; Echinodermata; Crinoidea; Comatulida; Tropiometridae. The record is from RNAcentral.